GGGUGACAGGUGGUGCAUGGUUGUCGUCAGCUCGUGUCGUGAGAUGUUGGGUUAAGUCCCGCAACGAGCGCAACCCUCGCCUCUAGUUGCCAGCAUUCGGUUGGGCACUCUAGAGGGACUGCCGGCGACAAAGUCGGAGGAAGUGGGGAUGACGUCAAAUCAUCAUGCCCCUUAUGACCUGGGCUACACACGUGCUACAAUGGCUGAAACAAAGGGCAGCGAAGCAGUGAUGUGGAGCGAAACCCAAAAAAGCAGUCUCAGUUCGGAUUGAAGUCUGCAACUCGACUUCAUGAAGUUGGAAUCGCUAGUAAUCGUAGAUCAGAACGCUACGGUGAAUACGUUCUCGGGUUU
Molecule: ribosomal RNA, 351 nt
Filed under: uncultured Geobacillus sp.
Lineage: Bacteria; Bacillati; Bacillota; Bacilli; Caryophanales; Anoxybacillaceae
Description: bacterial SSU rRNA
Rfam family: Bacterial small subunit ribosomal RNA
Source: RNAcentral